This 770-nucleotide ribosomal RNA is filed under the name Stenotrophomonas sp. Its description in RNAcentral is "bacterial SSU rRNA". It matches the Rfam family "Bacterial small subunit ribosomal RNA", at positions 1 to 767 of the family's 1533-position model. Lineage: Bacteria; Pseudomonadati; Pseudomonadota; Gammaproteobacteria; Lysobacterales; Lysobacteraceae. The record is from RNAcentral.
UAGAGUUUUGAUCAUGGCUCAGAGUGAACGCUGGCGGUAGGCCUAACACAUGCAAGUCGAACGGCAGCACAGGAGAGCUUGCUCUCUGGGUGGCGAGUGGCGGACGGGUGAGGAAUACAUCGGAAUCUACUUUUUCGUGGGGGAUAACGUAGGGAAACUUACGCUAAUACCGCAUACGACCUACGGGUGAAAGCAGGGGAUCUUCGGACCUUGCGCGAUUGAAUGAGCCGAUGUCGGAUUAGCUAGUUGGCGGGGUAAAGGCCCACCAAGGCGACGAUCCGUAGCUGGUCUGAGAGGAUGAUCAGCCACACUGGAACUGAGACACGGUCCAGACUCCUACGGGAGGCAGCAGUGGGGAAUAUUGGACAAUGGGCGCAAGCCUGAUCCAGCCAUACCGCGUGGGUGAAGAAGGCCUUCGGGUUGUAAAGCCCUUUUGUUGGGAAAGAAAUCCAGCUGGCUAAUACCCGGUUGGGAUGACGGUACCCAAAGAAUAAGCACCGGCUAACUUCGUGCCAGCAGCCGCGGUAAUACGAAGGGUGCAAGCGUUACUCGGAAUUACUGGGCGUAAAGCGUGCGUAGGUGGUCGUUUAAGUCCGUUGUGAAAGCCCUGGGCUCAACCUGGGAACUGCAGUGGAUACUGGGCGACUAGAGUGUGGUAGAGGGUAGCGGAAUUCCUGGUGUAGCAGUGAAAUGCGUAGAGAUCAGGAGGAACAUCCAUGGCGAAGGCAGCUACCUGGACCAACACGACACGAGGCACGAAAGCUGAGCAU